ACGAGUGGCUGAAGGAGCACGCCUGGAAAGUGUGUAUACGGCAACGUAUCGGGGGUUCGAAUCCCCCCCUCACCGCCA
RNAcentral lists this transfer RNA (78 nucleotides) under Klebsiella pneumoniae. RNAcentral's name for it is "tRNA-Ser". Lineage: Bacteria; Pseudomonadati; Pseudomonadota; Gammaproteobacteria; Enterobacterales; Enterobacteriaceae. The record is from RNAcentral.